This 578-nucleotide ribosomal RNA is filed under the name uncultured bacterium. Its description in RNAcentral is "bacterial SSU rRNA". It matches the Rfam family "Bacterial small subunit ribosomal RNA", at positions 28 to 592 of the family's 1533-position model. The record is from RNAcentral.
GACGAACGCUGGCGGCGCGCUUAACACAUGCAAGUCGAGCGAGAACCUAGGCCUUCGGCCUGGGGGACAGCGGCGAACGGGUGAGUAACACGUGGGUAAUCUGCCCCCGACAUCGGGAUAGCCCGGGGAAACCCGGAUUAAUACCGAAUAGCCCAUCCGCUUUUCGGAGCGGCUGGAAAAGGUAGCUUUGGCCUCCGGUCGAGGAGGAGCCCGCGGCGGAUUAGCUUGUUGGUGAGGUAACGGCCCACCAAGGCGACGAUCCGUAGCUGGUCUGAGAGGACGAUCAGCCACACUGGGACUGAGACACGGCCCAGACUCCUACGGGAGGCAGCAGUGGGGAAUCUUGCGCAAUGGGCGAAAGCCUGACGCAGCGACGCCGCGUGCGGGAAGAAGGCCUUCGGGUUGUAAACCGCUUUCAGGAGGGACGAAGCCACUCAGGUUAAUAGCCGAGAGGGUGACGGUACCUCCAGAAGAAGCCCCGGCUAACUACGUGCCAGCAGCCGCGGUAAUACGUAGGGGGCAAGCGUUGUCCGGAUUUAUGGGGCGUAAAGAGCGUGUAGGCGGCCAGAUAAGUCUGC